CAACUCUCAUCUCUUGUCUCUUCACCUCUUAUCUCUCUCUCUCUAGCUAGUCUCCACAAGCUCUAUGCCUCAAGUCGAUCAUGAAGCCUUCGCCGAUGACCCGAAAACUCGACCUUACAACUCCGCCGCGAGUCCGGCUGAUUUUCCGCCGGAAUCUUAUUUCUUGUCCAAAGAUGCUCAGCUCGAGUGGCUCACCGACAACGCCUUCUUCGACCGUAGAGAAUCGCAUAGAGGAAACUCAGUGAAUAAUAUCAACUCGAACCCUAGCUCUCAACGGUACUCCAAAGCGUCCAUCAUCGGUUUGCCGAAGCCGCAGAACACGUGCUUAAACGAGGCCAAGCAGCGGAGAAACGUCGGCAAAACCGAUAAAAACAAGAACCGUACGGGGUUCUUGAAACGGGUCGGGUCACGAACGAAGACGGAUCUUUCGCUUCUUCGCGAGCCUUCUUCUCCUAAUGUCUCGUGCAUGGGUAGAGUGAGAUCCAAAAGAGAACGUAGCCGCCGUAUGCAACGUCAAAAAUCGGUUCGACCGGAGAAGCCAAACCGGGUCAAGAAACCCGGGUUUAUGGCGAGUUUCAGAGCUAUCUUUCGUAUAGGAGGCGGCUGCAAACACGCGCCAUCCCGUGGGACGCACACACCGCCGAGUAGGGCACGUGGUGACAUCAGGAGCCGGCUUCCACCGGAAAAUGUUGAACCGGGAGCUUCCGGUUUGGGUGGGAUGACCCGGUUCGCUUCCGGAAGAAGAGGGGAUUUGUUAGGUGGGGUUGUUGACGUGUCGUGACAAGUGUAAUGUUAGUGAUUGGUUGGUUUUGGUGGGACCUGUUUUAACUGUUGUUGUGUUUGAAAUAUCGUUGGCGCUGACGCGGCAAAGUGGUGUAACGUUCAUCAGGAACACGGCAACGCGAUGGCGGUGAUUCUUACCCCACCAACCACACUUUGUAAUGUUUAUGUAGAUUUUUAUUUCACAUUAUAAUCAUUGAUAUUUCUUUUUUUUUUGUUAUUGUAAAUUGUUAGAGAAACACAUUUGUAUUUAUUGAUCAGACAAAGCAUACUUCUACCACCACUAGACUAAUGGUAAUUUCAGUUAUAUUAUUAGAGCGAAGGAAGUCAAAUUAGCAAUCAAGCAGUUCAUGGAAAAUAUUCGAACAUCUUGUGAAGCUUUUGACUCUUUCACAAAGAUUAAGUUGAAAAGAAAAUCUGCAACUUAAUCUUUGUGAAAGAGUCAUCAAAACCUUCACAAGAUGUUGAAUAUUUCACAAGUUGUAGAAAGAUUAAUUAAGUUGUAGAUUUUCUUUUCUCUCUUUUCAAAAAAAAAAAAGAUUUUCUUUUCUCGUUCCAAUCAUUGAUGUACAUUUUUCUUGAGAAAUAAUUCAAUUAUUUAGUUGAUUAACAAUUGUGAUUGACCACUAGACUAAUAUUUUCCCUAUGUUUGAAUGGUUUAUUUUUUUAUUUUCCAAUAAUGAUAUUAAUACCAUUUUUCUUUCUCACACAUAUUAAAUAUAAUUUAAUUAUUUUUUCAAAUGUUUUUCUUUAAUUCAUUUUGAAAAACAAAAUAGAUUAAUUAAAGUAUAAAAUCUCAAUUUUUUAAAUACAAUAAAAAAUCGAAAACAUUAAUCUUAUGAAUAAAAAAUAGUAAUCUUUGAGGAGUGUUCUUUGUUUGUGAUGCCAAAGCGACAAAGUCUUUGUGAUGCCAAGGCACUUCCAAAGGUUACAUCCACACGUCCCUUGCCUGAUUCUUGAUCCUCUCUAUAUCAUCCAUCACCGUCACUCCUCUCACAUAAGUUACUGGAAUCUGUCAGGGGCAUCUAUUUCUAUGUUUUCCAUUGAAGCAUAACAACUAAAUUCAAUGGUUUUACUAACAUCAAAAACAUCAUCAGUUUGCUCAAGCGAGUAGAGCACAGUUGAUUUUUGAAAAUGGGUGUGUUGCUCACCGGUGAGUAGUUGACAUGUUUUAUCUUCAAGUAGAGCACUGUUUUGUUUUGUAGUAGUAUUGUUUAUGUACAUUUUUCGCAUUUCAAUCAUCUAAGUAUAUAUAUAUUUUUGGUCAAAAAUCAUUUAAGUAUAUUCUUUUUCUUGCUUGCGUUGUAAAUUUUUAAAGAAGUCCGGUUUAGCUUAACCAAUGAGACUUCCGUUUCUUCUCUUGUCACUUGUAUCUAUAAGCUUAGACCAAAGCAAUCUAUCAAAACACAUUUGAUGUUGACAAAUAUGAGAUAUGAAUUGAAACCAAGUCAGGUUAUUUUUUGUUAUAACACUUUUAAAAAUCUUUUCUUUCAACAUUUAGAUUGAUGCAAGUAGAUUUGUUUAUAGGCUUCACAAGAGCCACAAAGAGAUAAAACAGGACAAAUAAAAUAGUGUUUCUACAUCUGAUUCCAUAUAAUUGGUGUACAUAGGGAAUGGAGUUAAGCAGAAACCACUUAGGGAAUGGAGUUAAUUCAUAAGUAAAAAAAUCGACAUAAAGAUCCAUAAUGAGCUGAAAAGGAUGAUCAAGUGUGAAAGCAACAGAUGUAAAUAUCCGCCACCACGAAUAGUUCCCUUAAAAUAAUAGCAAGCCGACACUUAAGAAGCUGGCCAGGACUCAGGACGACAAAUAGACCUCACACCCAGCAAAAUCCACAUUCACCAAACCAUGAACCUGAAAAGCGAAAGACAAAUAAGAUAGCUGUUAAAGCAUUUGCUAUGACAUUAGCUUAGAUUAAAGAGACCAUAUCUGAACCAUAAAGAGCCUCUUCUUUGCUCUCCCUAGCAGCAUUCAUACACAAAUCUCGAGAUUUCCUCCAUACUCGGUAAAAACCCACAGAACAUGAGUUAUAUUGUGGGUUUUGGGGGGAGUGGUACUCAAAAUAUAACUCAUAUUCUGAAGGCUUUUACCGAGUAUGUAAUCAAUCAUUUUACUAUGUUUUGCUCUGAAAGUAAAAAAAGAUAAUUGCGAUCUUGAGAUCUGAAGUGACGUAGGGCAUGAGUAUGGAAGAGAAGAAACCUUUGUUAAAGAUAGAGAGAGAAGCUGUUUAAAACGAGAUCAUAGAAUGGACAAACCAAGAGGAAGGAUUUGUGAUGGCUCUCCUAGUGUUGGUUGGGACAUUUAUUCUGUUGUUGUCAAAGAGAUAAGAUGAUAUGUGUGGUAGAGAAAGAAAGAAACAAGAUACGAGGAGAGAGUGUUAGGCAAUGAUUAUAAUCAAACAUCAUCACAAUCACAAGGUAGGCCUCGCAUUUUAACCUGAAAAUCCGUACUGGAACCGACCCGAAGAUAUCCGAUCCGAAACCGAACCGAAAUUUUACAAGUAUUUUUGGGUCUAAAUUUAUUUUACCGGAAAAAACUGAAAGGAACCAACCCGAAUAAAUCCGGACCUGAAAAGAACCGACCCGAAUAUAUCCGACCUGAUAAGAACCGAUUUGUACCCGAGUUAAAAACAUAUAUAUCCAAAACUAUGAUUUUUUGUGUUCUAUAUAUAUUAUUUUAUUUUUUAGUUGAAAUAUUUUUUGUUAAUAACACUUGUUAUUAUUUUGUAACAUUUUUUAAGUAAUAUGAAUCUUUGAAAUAUAAAUUUAGAGUUUAAAAAUGUUUUAUUUUAGUUAUUAAUAGUUUCAUUUAAGUUAUUUUGUAAAAAAUUUAGAUAUAUAUGACAAAUAUCGACUAAAUUUGAUUGAGUUGGAUAUGUCAAGUCUUUUUCAUAUCCUAAAUAUCCGAAUACGAGUCGUACCGAUGUGGACCCGAAAAAUUACGGGUAUUUUAUGGAUAUUUUAAUUAUAGAUCCAAAUCAACCCGAAUCCGAGAAGAACCGACCCGAACCUGAACCAAAAAUUUAUAAAUACCUAUUGGUCCAAAUGUUUAGGAUCCGAAAGACCCGAAUCAAAAAUUUCUAAGUACUUAUUGGGUCCAAAUGUUUAGGACCCAACCCAAAAGUAACCGGCCAAAACCCAACGGAAGAUCCGAACCCCAGGCCUAUCACAAGGUCACAACAGCUUAAGUGUGUUGAGUGUUAUAUUUUUCUAACGCGCGCGAUAUAAAGUGGUCAACCACUGCUGAUAAUACAGAUUUGCAGUUCAUACAUAAGAGACUUUUGUUUUAUUUUUUGAAGUCAAAGAGACAUCACAUAACAAAUCAUCAUAAUAUCACAUCUCUAAAACAAAAACCUAUUGAUCACAUCACAUAACAAAUCAUCAUAAUAGCACAGCAGGUAGGCAUCAUUACACACCCACACAAAUCUUGAUCAUACAUAAAAACAUCUUCCUGUAAUCCCAAAGAGACAACGUUGCUCUGCAGAUAGUGAUCAUAUAUCUCAGACUUAUUAGACUCUAGGAUAGCGAGAGCUGCCUUUCUUCUUCAAGAACUCUGGAAUCUCCACCGAACCACCAUCUCUAAAGGAGGAAGAAGGUCUUCUUGUACCUCCAGUUGAGGCAGUAUCUGCUUGUGCCAUCUGAGCCGCCCUUCCUUCUCCUUCCUCUUGUCGCUUAAAACCCGUUGCUAUGAGAGUUAUGCUCACCUUGUACCAAAAAACAAUCAAUUUCUACCAUCUCCAAAGGCCAUAUAAGUUAGUUAAAGACGAAUCAAAAAGGACAUACUUGACCGGUGAGGGAUGGAUCCACAACAGCUCCGAAUAUAAGAUUAGCAGUUGGAUCAACAAGAUCAUAUAUAACUUCCGCAGCAGCAUUUACCUACAAAGGGCACCAUAGUCUAAUGAGAAACAUGUAGACACCAAAUGAGAUAAAGAAACACAUAUGAGAGAGAGAGAGAGAGAGACCUCGAACAAUGUCAAGUCGGUUCCACCAGUGAUGUUCCAAACGAUCCCAGUGGCUCUCUCAAUGCCGAUAUCAAGCAAUGGUGAUUGGAUUGCGUUCAGUGCAGCAUCUCUUGCCCUACUCUUCCCUGCUUGAUUACCAAUUUACACUAGCACAUAAGACUAUAUAGUGGUUAUGAUAAAACUAUGCAGACCAAAGCUUUACCUGUUGCAGUUCCUAUCCCCAUCAGUGAAGAACCUGCAUUCGCCAUUAUAGCUCUCACAUCAGCAAAAUCCACAUUCACCAAACCAGGAAUCUGACAAAGCAAACACAAACUAUUAAAGCAUUUGCCCCACACACACAUAAAACAAUCACAUUAAAAAAGCCAUUACCGUAAUGAUAUCAGAGAUCCCACGAACUCCCUGACGAAGUAUAUCAUCAGCUAGAUUAAAAGCCUCCGUCACAGGAGUAGACUGAGAGACAGCCGUAAGCAGCUUAUCAUUCGGAAUAACAAUGAGAGUGUCAACAUUGUCUCUCAGCGAAGCAAGCCCUUCUUGAGCCUGCACCGCUCUUUUUCUCCCCUCAAACGAGAACGGCGUCGUGGCAAUACCAACAGUCAGUAUCCCCAUCGCCUUAGCGAUUCCAGCUAUCACAGGAGCUGCUCCAGUACCAGUCCCACCUCCCAUUCCAGCUGUGACAAAGACCAUGUCUGAACCAUAAAGAGCCUCUUCAAUAGCUUCUUUACUCUCCUUAGCAGCGUUCAUACCAAUCUCCGGAUUCCCACCAGCGCCUAAGCCUCUAGUCAGCUCCUUACCAAUCUGCAGCCUGUUCUCAGACAAAACAGGAGACAUCCUCAUAGCUUGAAUGUCAGUGUUCACAAUCCAGAACUCCACUCCCAUCAUCUCGCUCUCUAUCAUACGGUUCACAGCGUUUGAUCCACCUCCUCCCACGCCGAUAACUUUAAUCCUCGCCUCAUUAUAGCCACUAGGAGCAGAGGGCUCGUCAAAGUCCUCGGUGAGAGGAACCACAGAACUAGUUUCUUUCCUGGGGUUGGAGACUGUGUUGGCUCCUCCUCCUUCUAAUCUGAACAAGAGCCUUCUGUGUUUCUUCAUUUCAUAUUAUAAAAAGAAACACCAACUCUCAUCUCUUGUCUCUUCACCUCUUAUCUCUCUCUCUCUAGCUAGUCUCCACAAGCUCUAUGCCUCAAGUCGAUCAUGAAGCCUUCGCCGAUGACCCGAAAACUCGACCUUACAACUCCGCCGCGAGUCCGGCUGAUUUUCCGCCGGAAUCUUAUUUCUUGUCCAAAGAUGCUCAGCUCGAGUGGCUCACCGACAACGCCUUCUUCGACCGUAGAGAAUCGCAUAGAGGAAAC
Molecule: long non-coding RNA, 6088 nt
Filed under: Brassica napus (rape)
Lineage: Eukaryota; Viridiplantae; Streptophyta; Magnoliopsida; Brassicales; Brassicaceae
Description: long non-coding RNA (BNAP_LNC003733)
Source: RNAcentral